GGAAACCCUGAUCCAGCCAUGCCGCGUGCGGGAAGAAGGCCUUCGGUUGUAAACCGCUUCGGACGGAAAGAAAUCGCCAUUCCUAAUACGAGUGGUGGAUGACGGUACCGUAAGAAGAAGCACCGGCUAACUACGUGCCAGCAGCCGCGGUAAUACGUAGGGUGCGAGCGUUAAUCGGAAUUACUGGGCGUAAAGCGUGCGCAGGCGGUUUCUUAAGCCAGACGUGAAAUCCCCGAGCUUAACUUGGGAACUGCGUUUGGAACUGGGAGACUAGAGUGUGUCAGAGGGGGGUGGAAUUCCACGUGUAGCAGUGAAAUGCGUAGAGAUGUGGAGGAACACCGAUGGCGAAGGCAGCCCCCUGGGAUAACACUGACGCUCAUGCACGAAAGCGUGGGGAGCAAAACAGGAUUAGAUACCCUGGUAGUCCACGCCCUAAAACGAUGUCAACUGGCUGUUGGGAGAGCAAUCUCUUAGUAGCGAAGCUAACGCGUGAAGUUGACCGCCUGGGGAGUACGGCCGCAAGGUUGAAAACUCAAAAGGAAUUGGACC
RNAcentral lists this ribosomal RNA (549 nucleotides) under uncultured bacterium. RNAcentral describes it as "bacterial SSU rRNA". It matches the Rfam family "Bacterial small subunit ribosomal RNA", at positions 376 to 916 of the family's 1533-position model. The record is from RNAcentral.